UCACUUAAUAUGCAUAACCGCGGUCCUAC
This 29-nucleotide small RNA is filed under the name Bombyx mori (domestic silkworm). RNAcentral's name for it is "ovarian small RNA-25475". Lineage: Eukaryota; Metazoa; Arthropoda; Insecta; Lepidoptera; Bombycidae. The record is from RNAcentral.